RNAcentral lists this ribosomal RNA (195 nucleotides) under uncultured bacterium. RNAcentral describes it as "partial 16S ribosomal RNA". It matches the Rfam family "Bacterial small subunit ribosomal RNA", at positions 1306 to 1500 of the family's 1533-position model. The record is from RNAcentral.
UGCAACUCGACUACAUGAAGCCGGAAUCGCUAGUAAUCGCGAAUCAGAAUGUCGCGGUGAAUACGUUCCCGGGUCUUGUACACACCGCCCGUCACACCAUGGGAGCCGGAAAUGCCCGAAGUCAGUGGCCCAACCGCAAGGAGGGAGCUGCCGAAGGUGGAGCUGGUGACUGGGGUGAAGUCGUAACAAGGUAUC